GGGAUAUUGGUCAAUAGCCUAACGGCUGAACCAGCAACUUGGAGGAAUGUAUAGCAAUAGCUACUUGUAUCAUAACGAUGCAAGAUCGACUACGUCGAAUAAAAUUCUAGGUAGAAUUAUGAUAAUGACAUUGUCUGCCUAUGUGUCUUGACCAAAUUACGUGCCAGCAGUCGCGGUAAUACGUAGAAGACUAGUGUUAUUCAUGUUUAAUCGGUUUAAAGGGUACCUAGACGGUAAAUCAAGCUUACAAAUAAAAUGGAAACAGAAUUAAAGGACUAAUUUACUAGAGUUACUUAUGAGGGGGUAUUAAAGUACUGCUGGUGUAGAGAUGAAAUUCUGUCAUACCUCCCUUCGAAAGAAGAAUGAUGGCACAGGUAUAGGCGAAGGCAUCCCCUUAUGUGAUAACUGACGUUGAGGGACGAAGGCUUUGUGUAGCGAACAGGAUUAGAUACCCCAGUAGUCAAGGCAGAAAAUGAUGAAUGUCAUAGAUUAGAUAUAUAAGUUUAUUCUAUAAAUGAAAGUGUAAGCAUUCCACCUCAUGAGUAAUUUGGCAACAUUGGAACUGAAAUCAUUAGACCGUUUCUGAAACCAGUAGUGAAGUAUGUUGUUUAAUUUGAUGAUCCGCAAAAAACCUUACCACAAUUUGAAUAUUUAUAUCUUUUAUUGUUUUUUUCUGAUUUUUACAAUAAGAAGAAGAGGCAGUAAGAUAUAUUUACAAGCGUUGCACGGCUGUCUUCAGUUAAUGUCGCGAGACUUUGGUUAGUUCCAUUAAAUUA
This 776-nucleotide ribosomal RNA is filed under the name Notoparmelia cunninghamii. Its description in RNAcentral is "SSU rRNA". It matches the Rfam family "Bacterial small subunit ribosomal RNA", at positions 358 to 1095 of the family's 1533-position model. The record is from RNAcentral. Lineage: Eukaryota; Fungi; Ascomycota; Lecanoromycetes; Lecanorales; Parmeliaceae.